CCUACGGGAGGCAGCAGUGAGGAAUAUUGGUCAAUGGUCGCGAGCCUGAACCAGCCAAGUCGCGUGAGGGAGGACUGCCCUGCGGAUUGUAAACUUCUUUUGUCAGGGAAUAAAGUGGGGCACGUGUGCCCUGUUGUGUGUACUUUAUGAAAAAGGAUCGGCUAACUCCGUGCCAGCAGCCGCGGUAAUACGGAGGGUGCGAGCGUUAAUCGGAAUUAUUGGGCGUAAAGCGCUGGUAGGCGGUAUGUCAAGUCAAGGGUGAAAUCCCCGGGCUCAACGGUGGAACGGCCUUUGAAACUGGCAAACUGGAGUGGGUGAGAGGAGAGCGGAAUUCGAGGUGUAGGAGUGAAAUCCGUAGAUAUCGGGAGGAA
This 371-nucleotide ribosomal RNA is filed under the name uncultured bacterium. Its description in RNAcentral is "partial 16S ribosomal RNA". It matches the Rfam family "Bacterial small subunit ribosomal RNA", at positions 338 to 706 of the family's 1533-position model. The record is from RNAcentral.